UCUGCUUCCCCUUCUCGCCUGCUUUCAAUUCGAGCAAUGGGAGGCUCCAGUCACCAAUUGAGCCAAAUCUGGGCUGCUCCAGCCCCACCCUCAAGCUCCUCAUCUGCAGGAGCCUAAAAUUCUUUUGUAAUUCAGGGGGGACAGGCGCCUGGGCUCUGAGCAGGCUCUCACUGACUCCAUAUCCUGAGACCCUCGUCUGCACCGCGACCACCCCUCCUCCCCGUGGUUUGACGGCUUAUUCUGGAACCGCGGCCGCGGCAUGACUCUUGCAGACCCUGGCAUCCUCUCUGGCGCGCUCUGCUGGGCGCACGUAGGAAAAUGGGAGGAAGCAGUGACAUUGAAUUUGGUGAUGAUUUCCUAACUAUGAAUGAAAAAUGUGACCUGGGAAAGGAAAUAGGUGGUAAGAACACCUGAGACCGUCUCUCUCAGCCAAGUUCAAGCGCUCGGUCCAGCAGUGCCAGCCACAGACAGCCGUCUGGUCAUGGUGUCCAGAAUGCAGUCCUCUUGCACGCCUGACAAUGGAUGGCCCUCAGUCCCAACCUCAUCCUUCCUCUCCAGUCCCUCGAAGCUAUCAUUUUACCCGAUAUAUUCUGAUUCAACGCAUAGCCAAGCUCCUGUAUCUUUUCUGUGUCAGGCUUAUUUAACAGUGGUCACUUAGUGGACACUUAGCCAUGUCUUCAUGCAGAGAAACGUUUCUCCGUUUUCAAGGCUGAAUAAUAUUUCUUGGGAUAUUUUCUCAUGCAGUCAUCUGUUGACACAAGUCCGUACUCCAGCUACUGAGUACAAUACUAAGUAGACACAGGUUGCAGGAAUCAGAUCCCCAAAGUCAUUUUCUUGGAGCUUUCUAGGGUCUCGUGGCAAUUCUUUUUCUAACCUUUUAAGAACUCUUCAUACUGUUUUCUAUAAUGGUAUCCACCUUCCCACCAACAGGGCACAAAAGUUGGUUUCCCCACCAAAGCUUGGCAUCUGCUAUGGUUGGUCUCCAUCAAGCUUAGUCCCUCUGUGGCCGUGAGGAGGCAGAAGCUCUAAGAAAGGGGAGGAUGUAGUAGGUGAGUGGGCCUUGGGGUUCCACCACUGUGAUGGUGGAUCCGGAUGCCACAAAGUUGGCUGAGUCUCACAGGAGAGGAUUAGUCCCCAAGACUCCUUAAAGUAAGCCUGGUCUCCCUCCAGUCCCCUGCUUCCUGUGUUGUAGUACAUGAUUUCACCACCAGGAGGCCAUCUCCAGUCAAGCAGAUGCUGCACCAAGUUCUUGACCACCCAGAACUGUGAGCUAACACCCUUUUUCUUUACAUUUACAUGCUAUUACCCUUCGUCAUAGUGGUAAAAGCUAUCCUAGUGUGUGUAGUUUGGGUAUGCAUUCUCUGAUUAGUGGUAUCGUAAGCAUGUCUUUGGGGGAAAAGUAUUGUCAAACCUUGUCCCGUCAUAAUUAGUUUGUGUGAGUUUCGCUAUCAAGUUGAGUUUUUGCUGUAUUUACGAAUUUCCCACUAAGCUAACACAGUCUCUCAUAGGCAUGCCUGGAGGAUCAUCUAGAAACUAGAUCCUGUCGUUGAAUAUCAGUGCUAGUUUACAGGAGAGCACUAGCUAUUGGGUCGUACAGAGUUGCCGAAGGCCCACUAGGCUUUGAGCAGGGGCAUCUACAAGGGACACUUUCGAGGUGGGUGCCUGAGCCUCUUGACAGAGCUUCCAAGGCAUCUGUAGACCAAUCAUUCUUCGUUGAGUUCCACAACCCAGUCAUUAUGAACCCCACGCCUCUUCCCUGUUCCUAGCUAACUCCAGACUAUUUAUUUAGGGCAGGACAUCAGUGUUUGAGU
Long non-coding RNA from Meriones unguiculatus (Mongolian gerbil), 1811 nucleotides. RefSeq lists it as uncharacterized. The record is from RefSeq and is a predicted model, not a curated record. NCBI's taxonomy places the organism in Eukaryota, Metazoa, Chordata, Mammalia, Rodentia, Muridae. The transcript is spliced from 3 exons.